Molecule: ribosomal RNA, 203 nt
Filed under: uncultured bacterium
Lineage: Bacteria
Description: partial 16S ribosomal RNA
Rfam family: Bacterial small subunit ribosomal RNA
Source: RNAcentral
GACGAACGCUGGCGGCGUGCUUAACACAUGCAAGUCGAGCGGUAAGGCCUUUCGGGGUACACGAGCGGCGAACGGGUGAGUAACACGUGGGUGACCUCGCCCUCCACUUCGGGAUAAGCCUGGGAAACUGGGUCUAAUACGGGAUGGGACCAUUCCAUGCAUGUGGGGUGGUGGAAAGUCGGUGCUGUUGUGGUGCUGGCGGU